UUAAUACGGGGAGCUUGUUAGGCAGGCUGAGAGGAAGUUAUCGAACUUCGACCCUUGAACCUGAUAUGGGUAAUGCCAGCGUAGGGAAUGUUAA
RNAcentral lists this non-coding RNA (94 nucleotides) under human gut metagenome. Its description in RNAcentral is "TPP riboswitch (THI element)". It matches the Rfam family "TPP riboswitch aptamer (THI element)", at positions 6 to 94 of the family's 105-position model. From Rfam's summary of the family: Vitamin B(1) in its active form thiamin pyrophosphate (TPP) is an essential coenzyme that is synthesised by coupling of pyrimidine and thiazole moieties in bacteria. The record is from RNAcentral.